This is a non-coding RNA of Lolium perenne, 1237 nucleotides long. The record is from RefSeq and is a predicted model, not a curated record. Lineage: Eukaryota; Viridiplantae; Streptophyta; Magnoliopsida; Poales; Poaceae.
GAUUUGCACUGCCUCUGCGUGAGUCCGUAAGAUUAUUCCGUAGAAGUGUUCCGUAUGUGUAGCAUUGCUCAGUAUAAUUCAUACUGGUGCCAAUUUUGGUACCGCACCGGAAAAAGGCUGUAAAUGGGCCCGACCCAAUAAACCCAAUCGUUAUUCCUUUGUAUGAGACGUCCUGUGAAGAAAAAAAAUCAUAACCUUCUCCUCCGCGAGUCGACCUCGCUGGCUAGGUGCCGCCACCGAUCUCCGGGGAACUCCGGCGCCUCAGCCCCUCCCGCCGGCAUGUACGUCUCCUGGUCCAAGAUCUCCACCUACCCCACCAGCUCCUCUCCCUCAACUCGCCCUCUUGGCCUCGCCCCCGAUCCAAGAUCACAUGGCGGCACCGCUCUCCUCGCUGGCCAAGCCGGCGGAGCUCGUCACGCGGUUCCGGGACGGGAGCAGGUCCCCUGCCAGGCGACGUCCGUGUCCGUCCGUCCGCCCGAUGGCGGCAGACAACAAACAAGGUUCCGCGGUGACCGGAGCAGUGAUGCUGGCCCUCUUGGCAGCGGCGGCGGUGACGGCGGGCCGGCGAUGUGGACAAGGACGCGAGUGGAUUUCGGGCAGCGCACCGAGAAGCUGGUACUGGUGCGGCACCCGAACGUGUUGGCGCGCUCCGGGCGUAUUUACAGACCACGGAGCGGAUAGUUAUCAGUCAGUGCUCCCCAUUACAGCAUUUGUUUCUUCGUAAUUGUCAUUGCCGAUGUUCAGUUUCUGUGAUCAGCAAUAAUUUCCUACUAUAUAUAUGUAUCAUUUUAGCUCAUUACAAUUCUCAAUCUGAAGUAGGGUAAAUAUUGGAAAUAAUGAGGAAAUUGUAGUCUUAAUCUGCCCCGCUCUAAAGACCCGAAAAAUGUACAUAUAACUUUCAUGUCAACUGAACAGACCUUGCCGGACUGUAUGUGCCCAAAGUUUUGAGCCGAUGUUUGUGCUUCACGCCUUCACCUUCAGUAGAAGCUGAGCUAUGACGAGAGGAAGGCAAGUCUUGUUAAAAUGCUGAACGCCUUCGACUCCUCUGUUGGUGCCGAUGUGGAUGAUGACAAGGAUGACGAGUGAAGAGUGUAGUCUCCGUACUAGUGCUAUCUUUAUGAUUGAGUUGAACUUGCUCUGUGUCAUUCACCCCUUGUUAAAGUUGGUCACUAAGAAAAAUGACCAUGUUUCUUUCAGUAUUGAGGAUCAUAUUGGACUUAUUAUCUUAUUUUGAUGA